Molecule: ribosomal RNA, 472 nt
Filed under: uncultured bacterium
Lineage: Bacteria
Description: bacterial SSU rRNA
Rfam family: Bacterial small subunit ribosomal RNA
Source: RNAcentral
UGGGGAAUUUUGGACAAUGGGCGCAAGCCUGAUCCAGCCAUGCCGCGUGCGGGAAGAAGGCCUUCGGGUUGUAAACCGCUUUUGUCAGGGAAGAAACGCUCUGGGCUAAUACCCUGGGGUAAUGACGGUACCUGAAGAAUAAGCACCGGCUAACUACGUGCCAGCAGCCGCGGUAAUACGUAGGGUGCAAGCGUUAAUCGGAAUUACUGGGCGUAAAGCGUGCGCAGGCGGUUAUGCAAGACAGAUGUGAAAUCCCCGGGCUCAACCUGGGAACUGCAUUUGUGACUGUAUAGCUAGAGUACGGUAGAGGGGGAUGGAAUUCCGCGUGUAGCAGUGAAAUGCGUAGAUAUGCGGAGGAACACCGAUGGCGAAGGCAAUCCCCUGGACCUGUACUGACGCUCAUGCACGAAAGCGUGCGGAGCAAACAGGAUUAGAUACCCUCGUAGUCCCUGAGCGGGCUGGCAAGGCGCAU